AACGCGAAGAACCUUACCUGGGCUCGAACGGCUUUGGAUCGACGGUGGAAACACUGUUUUCCCGCAAGGGACCGGAGUCGAGGUGCUGCAUGGCUGUCGUCAGCUCGUGUCGUGAGAUGUUGGGUUAAGUCCCGCAACGAGCGCAACCCUUGUCCUGUGUUGCCACUCCGUAAGGAAGCACUCUCAGGAGACCGCCAGCGAUAAGUUGGAGGAAGGUGGGGAUGAUGUCAAGUCAUCAUGGCCUUUAUGUCCAGGGCUACACACGUGCUACAAUGGUCGGUACAAAGCGCUGCAAACCCGCGAGGGGGAGCCAAUCGCAAAAAGCCGGCCUCAGUUCGGAUUGCAGGCUGCAACUCGCCUGCAUGAAGCUGGAAUCGCUAGUAAUGCCGUAUCAGAACGAUGGCGUGAAUACGUUCCCGGGCCUUGUA
Molecule: ribosomal RNA, 428 nt
Filed under: uncultured Acidobacterium sp.
Lineage: Bacteria; Pseudomonadati; Acidobacteriota; Terriglobia; Terriglobales; Acidobacteriaceae
Description: bacterial SSU rRNA
Rfam family: Bacterial small subunit ribosomal RNA
Source: RNAcentral